AACAAACCAAUGAGUAGGAGAUAAAACUUAAAGAUGUACUUUUAGAGAGUCUAGGGUGGUGGAAGCUAGAUAGUGGCAGUUAAGUAAAUGGACCUACGAGGGCAAAGGGGAAAGGUAACGAGUAUCCUGCGACGUGAGCUUACGUUAUAAAGCAAAAAUGUGUUAGCAUUUUACAGAGUGGGUUCAUUGUAACCAAUAAAGGUGGUACCGCAGAUUAUUACAUCUGUCCUUUGA
RNAcentral lists this non-coding RNA (234 nucleotides) under Candidatus Stoquefichus. RNAcentral's name for it is "T-box sequence". It matches the Rfam family "T-box leader". Rfam says of the family: Uncharged tRNA acts as the effector for transcription antitermination of genes in the T-box leader family. Lineage: Bacteria; Bacillati; Bacillota; Erysipelotrichia; Erysipelotrichales; Erysipelotrichaceae. The record is from RNAcentral.